Molecule: long non-coding RNA, 3370 nt
Organism: Saccostrea cuccullata (small rock oyster)
Lineage: Eukaryota; Metazoa; Mollusca; Bivalvia; Ostreida; Ostreidae
Exons: 5
Source: RefSeq, a predicted model, not a curated record
CGGAAGUAAACAUCCUGAUGCAUUCUUGUCAUGUGAAUGUUGAGAGCGUGUUCAUUUUUGAAAUCUCCUUUCUGACAGACAUAUUCUACAGGAUCAGCUGAGAUGUAAUCAAUCACUGGAUUAUUUAAUGGAUAGGCUUAUUGGGCAUAUAUUUGGAUAUCUCUGUCAUCAACAUGGAAUGUAUGACUUCAUCUUUUAUACAGUCGGGUUCGGGGUUUCGGGCGGCCAUGACGAAUUUCGGCAAGAUUUUACCCCAGUGAAAAAGGCUUGUAAUCCACAGUUCCUCAACCUGGAAGAUAUGUUUUGUUCCUAACCAUCUAUAAUCCAUUCUCUAUGAAGUGAAGCCUGGCUGCUCUUCCUUUGGAAAUACACAGUUAGUCAAUCAACAUAGAAACACACAAACUUGAAGGAUAUUCUAGUGAGGGCUUAUGGAAAUGAUCUAUGUCUACUCUCAGAAUGGUGAAAGACUAUCAGAUUAUGCAAAGACUAACAGGAUAUCCUCUCUUGGAACACUGAAACAAGAAAAUCAAACAGGAGGUGGAUGGAGGAUUUAAGAAGCAUGGUGAAAGACUAUCAGAUUAUGCAAAGACUAACAGAAUAUCCUCUCUUAAAACACUGAAACAAGAAAAUCAAACAGGAUGGAGGAUUUAAGAAGCACAUAGAUAAAUAUGAUUUCCAACCAAUUUAAGUACGAUCAUAGACUGUGCUUUACAGGAUGACAAAGAAAGGACCCAGGAUAGUAUCUUUUACUGUCAGACACUGACUAUGGAUAAGAUGUAGCCAUUUAUCAAACUGAGAUCUAGUCAAAUCAAGUAUUGAGAACAUGAUUUUCUGAUAACAUGAAUUUAUUCUCACCAACUUCAAAGUAUCUAUAUUUAUUUUUUUUAUUAUAUAUAUAUUAUAUAUAUAUUAUUAUAUAUAUUAUUUAUUAUAUAUGUAUUUAUUUUUACUAACUCAUAUUGAAGACAGUUGUUAUGUAAGAGAAGUAUACAUUUAAACCUUUUAUUUUUCAUCUUAUUUCUAUAACCCCUAACAAAUUACACAGAUGUUUUAGAAGCUAGCUUUGCUGUAAUUAUUACUUUCAUGGAAUUGUAAAUACAUUUUGUUUGUGUAUGUGUAUCCUAUUUUGAAUUUAAUAAGUCUCAAUAGGACCCCCUAAAGAUGCAAGUGUCCCCUAAUCUGUGAUGUAAUAAUAUCUUGAAUAUUUUUUAUCAUCCCAUAGACUUCAUGCUUACUUCACAGAACAGGUUAGAGUAAUGCACUUAGUUUUCUAGGACACUUCAUCAGGGUCAAAGCAUGAGAUUAUUGAUUCAGAGAUAACUACCUUUGAAAAUAAUUUGUAACAUACAAACUUCACAUCAUAAGUAAAGAAAGAUUCAGAGAUUUUCUAUAGAUUUUUGGAUCAUUUUUUUUUCAUGGGUUUUAUUUUCAGUUGUUGUAACUUUAACAAUUUGUGAUAACCUAGAGACUUUACAGGCAUAUUCUUUGGUAAAUCAUAUGCACUAUGUUCAAGGAUGUUUAAAGACUAUUACUAUGUAAUACCUUUGAAUUCUGUAAAAAUCUUUUCACUGCAUAGAUAAAAACUGGUUGGAAUAAUACAUGUUGACAAUAAUUUGCAACCUACAAACUUCACAUCAUAAGUAAAGAAAGAUUCAGAGAUUUUCUAUAGAUUUUUGGAUCAUUUUUUUUUCAUGGGUUUUAUUUUCAGUUGUUGUAACUUUAACAAUUUGUGAUAACCUAGAGACUUUACAGGCAUAUUCUUUGGUAAAUCAUAUGCACUAUGUUCAAGGAUGUUUAAAGACUAUUACUAUGUAAUACCUUUGAAUUCUGUAAAAAUCUUUUCACUGCAUAGAUAAAAACUGGUUGGAAUAAUACAUGUUGACAAUAAUUUGCAACCUACAAACUUCACAUCAUAAGUAAAGAAAGAUUCAGAGAUUUUCUAUAGAUUUUUGGAUCAUUUUUUUCAUGGGUUAUAUUUUCAGUUGUUUUAACUUUAACAAUUUGUGAUAACCUAGAGACUUUUUAUCAGCUUUAUUGGGUGGCAUGGCAUAUUCUUUGGUAAAUCAUAUGCACUAUGUUCAAGGAUGUUUAAAGGCUAUUACUAUGUAAUACCUUAGAAUUCUAUUAAAAUCUUAAUAUCACUGCAUAGAUAAAAACUGGUUGGAAUAAUACAUGUUGACAAUAAUUUGCAACCUACAAACUUCACAUCAUAAGUAAAGAAAGAUUCAGAGAUUUUCUAUAGAUUUUUGGAUCAUUUUUCUCCUGGAUUAUAUUUUCAGUUGUUGUAACUUUAACAAUUUGUGAUAACUUAUAGACUUUAUAAAAAUUAGGUGCAAAUUCUUAGGAAAAGAUUGAAAUGUUAAUCAAAUGUACAUGUUCAAGGGUGUAUAAAUGAUUAUUACUAUGUAAUACCUUAGAAGUCUGUUAAAAUUUUAUUAUCACUGCAUAGAUAAAGACUGGUUGGAAUAAUUUAUGUUUUGAAAUAAGGUUUAGGGAAAAAAGUCAAGACUGUGGAUAUGACUUUUAUUCAAAUGGUGCAGUACAGCAACUCUGGUGAUUUACAUACCUUCAGUCAUAAAUAGAUAGGUAUUGGGAAGACUCCUCUAGAUUUUGAAAUUUUUAAUUCAAAAGUAUAGAACUUUUUUUUAAGUUUGAAAGAUUAAAUGGCAGCAUAUCAUUUGCUUGUGAAUUUAAAAAAUAAAUCCAAACACAUACAUCUUUGGAUGAUAAUUAUAUAAUUUUAUCAAUUCCUGGACUUCGGUCUUGAUAUCAUCCUUUAAUGUCCUUAAAAUUUGAAGGACUGUCUUUUAGUUUUAGUUGAAUUAGUUUCUUUUCUACAUGUGAAAAUGACAUCAUCCAAAGAAGUUCUUUGUCUGCAUGUUAUAUGAAGAAGACAAUUUUCAUCACAGUGAAAGAGAUUGAUUUGUUAAAGAUAAUGCAUUGAUGCACAAAUAUAUUUUAAAAUUUUUUAAUAGCUAGGGUUUAUAUUUCUUUAUAUGGAAUGCUAAGUACUGUUGAUUUCAUUUUUUUGUGAACAAAGAUAUACUAGUAGAAAAAAUGUACAUGAUGUGUCAGAAAAGCAUGUGUAAACCUGAUGACUUUAUCAUUGCUGAUUAAAUCAAAUUAUGAGUUUCAUCUUUGUUACAUUGUAAACAUUUCUAAGUAGGGCACACACCAGAAACUCUUAAAAUUAUUAUAUCAGGGUUUAACACAACAAUUUCAAAUGAUUUUUGGACGCUUUUCAUGUAUCAGAAAGACAAAACAGAAUGUUUGUUCACAGAUGUUCCAAAGGAAAACAAACACAAAGAAAUGAUUUGUAAUGUUCUUUAUGUGAUUCAUGUAAAAUGUAUUUUAAAAGUGUACCCUAACA